Misgurnus anguillicaudatus (oriental weatherfish) is the source of this 600-nucleotide non-coding RNA. NCBI's taxonomy places the organism in Eukaryota, Metazoa, Chordata, Actinopteri, Cypriniformes, Cobitidae. The record is from RefSeq and is a predicted model, not a curated record.
CUAUAUAAGCCCCUCUGUUAACUUUUGUUCGAGCCUGUCUAGAUCUUUUAUCAGUCUAGAAAGAUGUUGGAGAAAAGACAUCAUCCUCUUCUAUACUCUCCAUCUGUAAUUGGGCUAACAACUGGACCAGUGAAUGCAGGUAACUUACUCUCCAUUCGACCUUGCAGGUCACACCAUGGUCUCAAGAGUGAAAAAGAGUGCUCUAUGGAUUGAACAGAAAAGGUGAAUCAAAACUCCAACCAUCUGUAUGAGGGUCUGGAUGGAUAAAGGAUGCCCACUGGAGCUGGAAAUGAUGGAUCAGGUGGAUCCACACUUUAACCAUCUGUAUGAUGAUCUGCACCCACUGGAGCUGUAAAUGGUGGAGCAGGUUUCUGAAUUGAUGUCAGAUGCAAAGCAGAAGCUUUCUUCCAGUUUGGCUUCAUUGUGGAAAAAUGCUGGAAACUAAAAUGCAGAACAUGAUGCACGAUGGGAUGCACAAAGUGAUAUUUGGACGCAGCCUCAGUCUGUCAGAUCAAAGAGACAUACAGAAUGCACAGAGCAGUGGGACUCCAUGAACAGAGUUGAGAACCACUGCUGUAACUCAUUAUGCCUACCUGACUC